This 173-nucleotide unclassified non-coding RNA is filed under the name soil metagenome. RNAcentral describes it as "partial internal transcribed spacer 1". The record is from RNAcentral.
CCGAGUUUACAACUCCCAAACCCACUGUGAACAGUACCAAAUCGUUGCCUCGGCGGGGUACCGCCCCGGGCGUCCCCGGCCCGGACCCAGGCGCCCGCCGGAGGAACCAACCUAAACUCUACUUGAGUCCAUCGGGGUAUCUUCUUACAGCUGAGCAAAAUCAAAUAGAAUCA